RNAcentral lists this ribosomal RNA (479 nucleotides) under uncultured bacterium. Its description in RNAcentral is "partial 16S ribosomal RNA". It matches the Rfam family "Bacterial small subunit ribosomal RNA", at positions 28 to 507 of the family's 1533-position model. The record is from RNAcentral.
GAUGAACGCUGGCGGCGUGCUUAACACAUGCAAGUCGAGCGAGACGUUUUGAAAAGAUUCUUCGGAUGAAAUUUAAAAUGGAAAGCGGCGGACGGGUGAGUAACGCGUAGGCAACCUGCCCCAUACAAAGGGAUAGCAUUUGGCAACGAAUAUUAAUACCUUAUGAAACUUAACUGGCGCAUGCUAGGUAGGUCAAAGAUUUAUCGGUAUGGGAUGGGCCUGCGUCUGAUUAGCUAGUUGGUGAGGUAACGGCUCACCAAGGCGGCGAUCAGUAGCCGACCUGGGGAGGUGAACGGGCAAAUUGGAACUUAGGCACGGUCCAAACUCCUUCGGGAAGGAGGCGGUGGGAAUAUUUGACCAUGGGGGGAACCCUGAUGCAGCACCUCCGCGUUAAAUGUGGAGGCCUUUGGGUCGUAAAGUUCUGUUCUAGGUGAUGAAUACUGACGGUAACCUAGGAGAAAGCCCCGGCUAACUCCGUG